GUCUAUGGUCAUACCACCCUGAACACACCCAAUCUCAUCUGAAAUCAGAAGCUAAGCAGGGUCAGACCUGGUUAGUACUUGGAUGGGAGAAAACAAAGAGAUGAGAUU
This is a ribosomal RNA of Panthera pardus (leopard), 108 nucleotides long. The record is from Ensembl. Lineage: Eukaryota; Metazoa; Chordata; Mammalia; Carnivora; Felidae.